GAUGAACGCUGGCGGCGUGCCUAAUACAUGCAAGUCGAGCGAACAGACGAGGAGCUUGCUCCUCUGACGUUAGCGGCGGACGGGUGAGUAACACGUGGAUAACCUACCUAUAAGACUGGGAUAACUUCGGGAAACCGGAGCUAAUACCGGAUAAUAUAUUGAACCGCAUGGUUCAAUAGUGAAAGACGGUUUUGCUGUCACUUAUAGAUGGAUCCGCGCCGCAUUAGCUAGUUGGUAAGGUAACGGCUUACCAAGGCAACGAUGCGUAGCCGACCUGAGAGGGUGGUCGGCCACACGGGAAGUGAGACUGGGCCCAGACUCCGGCGGGGGGAAACGGUCGGGAAUCUUACGCGAUGGAGGAGAGCGUGACGGUACAACGCGGCGUGAGUGAUGAAGGUGUUCGGAUGGGUGAGCGAUGUUAUUAGGAGAGAAGAAAAGUGUAAGCGGCUGGGAACGUAUUGACGGUACCAAAAGAAGAAGCCCCGGCUAACUACGUG
This 497-nucleotide ribosomal RNA is filed under the name uncultured bacterium. Its description in RNAcentral is "partial 16S ribosomal RNA". It matches the Rfam family "Bacterial small subunit ribosomal RNA", at positions 28 to 507 of the family's 1533-position model. The record is from RNAcentral.